AAUUGUUUUUUUUUUCCUUCU
RNAcentral lists this small nuclear RNA (21 nucleotides) under Arabidopsis thaliana (thale cress). RNAcentral's name for it is "snRNA_12714". The record is from RNAcentral. Lineage: Eukaryota; Viridiplantae; Streptophyta; Magnoliopsida; Brassicales; Brassicaceae.